RNAcentral lists this ribosomal RNA (502 nucleotides) under uncultured bacterium. RNAcentral describes it as "bacterial SSU rRNA". It matches the Rfam family "Bacterial small subunit ribosomal RNA", at positions 16 to 507 of the family's 1533-position model. The record is from RNAcentral.
AUCCUGGCUCAGAACGAACGUUGGCGGCGUGCUUAACACAUGCAAGUCGAGCGCGAAUCCUUGCUUCGGCGAGGUAGUAGAGCGGCGAACGGGUGAGUAACACGUGAGUAAUCUACCUUCAAGUUUGGGAUAACGACCCGAAAGGGUUGCUAAUACUGGAUAAGACCACAACGCCCCUGGGCGAUGUGAGAAAAGGCCUCGGUCGCUUGAAGAUGAGCUCGCGUCCCAUUAGCUAGUUGGUAGGGUAAAGGCCUACCAAGGCCACGAUCGGUAGCUGGUCUGAGAGGAUGAUCAGCCACACUGGGACUGAGACACGGCCCAGACUCCUACGGGAGGCAGCAGUGGGGAAUAUUGGACAAUGGGCGCAAGCCUGAUCCAGCAAUGCCGCGUGUGUGAAGAAGGCCUGCGGGUUGUAAAGCACUUUCAGUGGGGAAGAACAGAUUCGGGUCAAUACCCCGGAGCCCUGACGUUACCCACAGAAGAAGCACCGGCUAACUCCGUG